This 468-nucleotide ribosomal RNA is filed under the name uncultured bacterium. Its description in RNAcentral is "partial 16S ribosomal RNA". It matches the Rfam family "Bacterial small subunit ribosomal RNA", at positions 28 to 507 of the family's 1533-position model. The record is from RNAcentral.
GACGAACGCUGGCGGCGUGCUUAACACAUGCAAGUCGAACGGAAAGACCCUGCUUUUGUGGGGUGCUCUAGUUGCGAACGGGUGAGUAACACUUGAGUAACCUGCCCUUGACUUUGGCAUAACUUCAUGAAACUUGGGCUAAUACCGGAUAGGAGCCCCUGCUUCAGGGUGGGGGUUGGAAAGUUUCGGCGGUUGGGGAUGGACUCGCGUCCUAUCAGCUUGUUGGUGGGGUAGUGUCUUACCAAGGCUUUGACGGGUAGCCGGCCUGAGAGGGUGACCGGACAAAUUGGGACUGAGCUACGGCCCAGACUAGUACGGGAGGCAGGAGUGGGGAAUAUUGCACUAUGGGAGGAAGCCUGAUGCAGCAACGCAGCGUGCGGGAUGACGGCAUUCGGGUUGUAAACCGCUUUCGCCUGUGACGAAGCGUGAGUGACGGUAAUGGGUAAAGAAGCACCGGCUAACUACGUG